UAUACAUUUGCUUACUUUUUAAUGCUUUCUGUGGAUUUUGAAAUAUUAGAAAGUCCUCAGAAAAGUCCUUCAAUUGAAAGUCCGCAGCUUUUUGUAGGAGUGUCCUAUUGAAAAUGUUAAGUCACGUGCAAGUGCAGUUUGAAUUUUGGCAGCCAGGAGCUGCAUUGGUGUGCUACGACUUCUGCGUGUCAAUUGCUGCAUAUAUAAACAAGAGCGAACUCAAGAGACAGACCUUUAUCCUUAUUGCUGCAGCCAUCACUGCCUUGAGGCAGUAGAAGAGGACUUCUGCUUGCUCUGCAUCUCGGCACUGCCACACGUCUUUGCCACAGCGGAGUCACCUCCAGAGUGUACCUGCUGAAUCCAGCUGAAGACAAGGAGAUCUCGGCACAGCAGGGUUUUGUUUUCUUUUCAUGGGUGAAAACGUGGCUUGGAUUCUGUGCUACAGAGUAGAUCCAGCACCAUAGUGCGUGUCUGUGAGCUCUGAUGGCAGCUGCCACUUCACACAACUUGGUGACAUACGGGGAGUGUUGUAUUCAGAGGAAUUAUCCAUAGUCUGUACCAUUCCUGAUGUUCUGUUGGCUUUGUGUAGGUUCCUACAGUGUUGAAAGUGCAUUUUAAAUUUACUUUUUCAGGGCCUGCGUAUGUAGUGUUACACAGACUUCAAACACCUACCAUGAUUUCCCCUGUUUAGAAUAAAAACAUCUAUGACAUCUG
Long non-coding RNA from Strigops habroptila (Kakapo), 714 nucleotides. RefSeq lists it as uncharacterized. The record is from RefSeq and is a predicted model, not a curated record. NCBI's taxonomy places the organism in Eukaryota, Metazoa, Chordata, Aves, Psittaciformes, Psittacidae. The transcript is spliced from 2 exons.